UACGUAGGUGGCAAGCGUUGUUCGGAAUUACUGGGCGUAAAGGGCGCGUAGGCGGCCUUCUAAGUCGAACGUGAAAUCCCCGGGCUCAACCCGGGAACCGCGUCCGAUACUGGAAGGCUUGAAUCCGGGAGAGGGAUGCGGAAUUCCAGGUGUAGCGGUGAAAUGCGUAGAUAUCUGGAGGAACACCGGUGGCGAAGGCGGCAUCCUGGACCGGCAUUGACGCUGAGGCGCGAAAGCCAGGGGAGCAAACGGG
This 253-nucleotide ribosomal RNA is filed under the name uncultured bacterium. RNAcentral's name for it is "partial 16S ribosomal RNA". It matches the Rfam family "Bacterial small subunit ribosomal RNA", at positions 524 to 776 of the family's 1533-position model. The record is from RNAcentral.